This 572-nucleotide ribosomal RNA is filed under the name uncultured soil bacterium. Its description in RNAcentral is "bacterial SSU rRNA". It matches the Rfam family "Bacterial small subunit ribosomal RNA", at positions 8 to 555 of the family's 1533-position model. The record is from RNAcentral.
AGAGUUUGAUCCUGGCUCAGAGCGAACGCUGGCGGCGUGCCUAACACAUGCAAGUCGAACGUGAAAGGGAGCAAUCCCAAGUAAAGUGGCGUACGGGUGAGUAAUGCGUAGGUAAUCUACCCCAAAGUUUGGAAUAACCUGCCGAAAGGCGGGCUAAUACUGAAUAGAGCGACGGAAUCCGUAAUUGGGUUUUUACGGGAAAGGGAGGAAGCAAUUCCCUUCGCUUUGGGAUGAGCCUACGUCUCAUUAGCUAGUUGGUGGGGUAAUGGCCCACCAAGGCUAUGAUGGGUAGCUGGUCUGAGAGGAUGAUCAGCCACACUGGAACUGAAACACGGUCCAGACUCCUACGGGAGGCAGCAGUGGGGAAUCUUGCGCAAUGGACGAAAGUCUGACGCAGCCACGCCGCGUAAGUGAAGAAGGCCUUCGGGUUGUAAAGCUCUGUCGAGCGGGACGAAAGAGUUCUUAGGUGAACUAGCUUAGGGAUGUGACGGUACCGCUUAAGGAAGCACCGGCNUAACUCCGUGCCAGCAGCCGCGGUAAUACGGAGGGUGCAAGCGUUGCUCGGAAUUAUU